Molecule: ribosomal RNA, 238 nt
Filed under: uncultured Lactobacillus sp.
Lineage: Bacteria; Bacillati; Bacillota; Bacilli; Lactobacillales; Lactobacillaceae
Description: partial 16S ribosomal RNA
Rfam family: Bacterial small subunit ribosomal RNA
Source: RNAcentral
UUAGCCCAACGAGAUCGGGAUAACACCUGGAAACAGGUGCUAAUACCGGAUAACAACAGAUGAUGCCUAUCAACUGUUUAAAAGAUGGUUCUGCUAUCACUCUUGGAUGGACCUGCGGUGCAUUAGCUAGUUGGUAGGGUAACGGCCUACCAAGGCGAUGAUGCAUAGCCGAGUUGAGAGACUGAUCUGCCACAUUGGGACUGAGACACGGCCCAAACUCCUACGGGAGGCAGCAGGU